GGGCCCGCACAAGCGGUGGAGUAUGUGGUUUAAUUCGAUGCAACGCGAAGAACCUUACCAGGGUUUGACAUCCUGCGAAUCUCUUGGAAACGAGAGAGUGCCUUCGGGAACGCAGUGACAGGUGGUGCAUGGCUGUCGUCAGCUCGUGUCGUGAGAUGUUGGGUUAAGUCCCGCAACGAGCGCAACCCACGUCUUUAGUUGCCAGCAUUUAGUUGGGCACUCUAGAGAGACUGCCGGUGAUAAACCGGAGGAAGGUGUGGAUGACGUCAAGUCAUCAUGCCCCUUACAUCCUGGGCUACACACGUACUACAAUGCUACGGACAAAGGGUUAAUCCCAAAAACUGUCUCAGUUCGGAUUGGGGUCUGCAACUCGACCCAUGAAGUCGGAAUCGCUAGUAAUCG
This 402-nucleotide ribosomal RNA is filed under the name uncultured bacterium. RNAcentral's name for it is "bacterial SSU rRNA". It matches the Rfam family "Bacterial small subunit ribosomal RNA", at positions 917 to 1344 of the family's 1533-position model. The record is from RNAcentral.